This is a long non-coding RNA of Corvus hawaiiensis (hawaiian crow), 1183 nucleotides long. RefSeq lists it as uncharacterized. Lineage: Eukaryota; Metazoa; Chordata; Aves; Passeriformes; Corvidae. The transcript has 4 exons. The record is from RefSeq and is a predicted model, not a curated record.
CCUAGACACCCUCAUGAGUUCAGCUAAGUGAGAGAAAUUAAAGACAAAAGCGGAGGAGCCACUUCAAAGUGUCAUAAGGACUGUAGUUGGACCAGUUCUGCCCCAUAAGAAGGGAAGAAAGCCUUCAGCCCUCUCUGUAAAUGUCCUGAUGCUUCCCCUGAGGGGGAGUUUUACACCUGAGGUUCAUCAGGGGGACACUGGCAUGAAAAAAAGCAUUAUCCCACCUUGCAGGAUCUGUUUCUUGUUGCCUUUUUCCCUUAUCAGGCUCAAACCCCAGACACCUCAUUCUGUGCCUUCCUUAACUCUUUUGUGGAUUAAUGCCUUAAUAAACAGAACUGAACCUUUGUCACCUUUGAACAUGCACCUACACAGCCUAAUUACCUUGCUCUUCUGGAACCCAUUCGUUAACACUGGAUGGAAAGGAGGCAGUCUGAUUUUCAUUCCAGUAACGAGUUUCAAGUACUGACAGCAAAUAUGGAAAUAUGACUUUAUGUUGCACUGAGAAAGCAGCAUUAAAUUCUUCCUCUUUUUCUGGGCUGUGUAUCAUCCUGGCUCAUUCUGCUGCAUAAAUUAAAGAGUUGAAGAAAAAGAUUUCUUUCUGAAAAAACCCUCACACUUCAAUACUUAUAUACCAGAGCUCCGUAAUGUGACACAACUCUUAUUUAACCUCUCUAAUAUGAUGCAUUUAAAGGAAGAAUGCCUGCAGCUGAAUUUAUUAGGUGAAAUAUGGAGUUUAAGGGAGGGGUUUUUUUUCCAAUAAGUGUCUUAUGGCUUCUAUUUCACAAAGUGAUGUAAUAUUUGUCAAUUCGGGUGUGUGUUCGUCUUUAUUCAGAUAGAGAUGCUAAAAUUUGACCAGGAAUUGAAGUUAACUUUAAAACAUUCUGACUUAAUACAAAUGUGCAAUUGCCAAUGUAAUGCAAUAUCUAAUUGCAGUCUAUCAUAGCAUAUCAUGCCAUUCAUAAAUUAGCUUAAGAAAAUGAAGGCACUACUUUCAGAGAAUAUAUUGGACCACGAUAUAAAUGAAUAGUCAUUAGGACCAUGUCCAAAAGAGCAAAUUAAAGCCUAAUGCCCAAGUGUGGGAUGUGAGGCAUGUCAGUCUGAAACUGUGAUCUCAAACCUUCACAGUCACUUGGGUUAGCAAGCAUAGUCCCGGAAGUGAUGUUCUUGCAAAGGGGUGCUUACA